This 497-nucleotide ribosomal RNA is filed under the name uncultured bacterium. RNAcentral describes it as "partial 16S ribosomal RNA". It matches the Rfam family "Bacterial small subunit ribosomal RNA", at positions 28 to 507 of the family's 1533-position model. The record is from RNAcentral.
GACGAACGCUGGCGGCGUGCCUAAUACAUGCAAGUUGAGCGAUGAAGCUUGGUGCCUGCACCAAUUUGAAGAGCAGCGAACGGGUGAGUAACGCGUGGGGAAUCUGCCUUUGAGCGGGGGACAACAUUUGGAAACGAAUGCUAAUACCGCAUAACAACUUUAAACAUAAGUUUUAAGUUUGAAAGAUGCAAUUGCAUCACUCAAAGAUGAUCCCGCGUUGUAUUAGCUAGUUGGUGAGGUAAAGGCUCACCAAGGCGAUGAUACAUAGCCGACCUGAGAGGGUGAUCGGCCACAUUGGGACUGAGACACGGCCCAAACUCCUACGGGAGGCAGCAGUAGGGAAUCUUCGGCAAUGGACGAAAGUCUGACCGAGCAACGCCGCGUGAGUGAAGAAGGUUUUCGGAUCGUAAAACUCUGUUGGUAGAGAAGAACGUUGGUGAGAGUGGAAAGCUCAUCAAGUGACGGUAACUACCCAGAAAGGGACGGCUAACUACGUG